This 253-nucleotide ribosomal RNA is filed under the name uncultured bacterium. RNAcentral describes it as "partial 16S ribosomal RNA". It matches the Rfam family "Bacterial small subunit ribosomal RNA", at positions 524 to 776 of the family's 1533-position model. The record is from RNAcentral.
UACGGAGGGUGCAAGCGUUGCUCGGAAUUAUUGGGCGUAAAGGGUAGGUAGGUGGUCUCGUUUGUCUGGGGUGAAAGCCUUGGGCUUAACUCAAGAAGUGCCCCAGAAACGGCGAGACUAGAGUACUGGAGAGGGUCGUGGAAUUCCCGGUGUAGCGGUGAAAUGCGUAGAGAUCGGGAGGAACACCAGCGGCGAAGGCGGCGACCUGGACAGUUACUGACACUCAACUACGAAAGCGUGGGGAGCAAACAGG